This is a long non-coding RNA of Quercus lobata, 1645 nucleotides long. RefSeq lists it as uncharacterized. Lineage: Eukaryota; Viridiplantae; Streptophyta; Magnoliopsida; Fagales; Fagaceae. The record is from RefSeq and is a predicted model, not a curated record. The transcript has 4 exons.
CUCCUUUUAUUUAUUUAUUUAUAUCUAACCCAUUUUCGUUUUCACCAUGCGGAGCUCUCUCUCUCACAUCUCCACCGCCCCUAGCCACCUCCCUAGCCCUAGCCACCACCACCUCCCUAGCCCUAACCGCCGCCACCGCCAUCGCCCUAGCUGUAGCCGCCGCCGCCAUAGAUAUACUCUCUCUCACCUCAACCACCACCCGCUGCCAUUAAUGGAAUAAUGAUUAUUUUCAAUCUUCAUAGUAUUUUUCUUAUCAUUUUUAUUGUUAUUUUUUUUUUUUCAGGAUAGAAGCUUUACUUUCAUUUUGAAGACACCCCCUGCUUCAGUUCUGCUUUUAAAAGACGCAGGUAUGCUUCUUUAACAAUGCCCAUUAUGUGUUUGAUUGUUUUACCCUUCGUUUGUUUGGCAUUUACUGAAUGUAAUUAAGCAUCUAAUUCUUGGAUUUUAACAGUGUGUUUCAGAGCUAUUACCAAUUUGAUGUAGUAACUUAUUGAGUGGUUAUUACUUGAAUGAAGCUUCGUUUUCAUACAUCCAACAUGUAAUGUUACAGCUUACAAGUAGAAUCUAGAAAACUAGAAUUUUUUCAUCACUGAUGUUUUCAUAUGGGAAAAUUUACUUAUUUGAAAAAGUGGAGCAUCUUGGAUUUGAUUUCGGCAUUGACUCUGAUUGUGCUAGAUGAAAAGUGAACUCAUUAUUAUCUUGCUAAGGGCUCAUUAGAAUACUCAGAAUGGAGAAAUUGUGCGGAAAGUUUACUACGCUUUUUGAAAGGCCUCUUAAAUGAAAUACUCAUCUACAAACAUAACAAGCGAGCACCUGUCAGUGGCUCCAGACCAUAAAUUUUGAGAUGCUUAAAUCCUAAUGAACAACAAAUAUGAUAAUGAACUUUAAAGGGGAGAGUUUGGAAUAAUUUGAUUGUGUUCUAUACAAUUAAUUUGUGAUGGAAAAAGUGCUCGAUCCUGUAAGUUCUUCUUCAUUAGAUCAUCUCUCAAACCCACACUCACUGUAAGUUCUUCUUCUUUUCUUUCUAAAGGUUUUUUUUUAAUUUUUUUUGUUGAUUAAUGAAUGCCAUUGUUGUUUGAUAUAGUAUGUUGUGAAUUUUGUAAGUUAUUUUUUAUUAUGCUCAGUUUCCUUUUCUUAUUAAACCCAUGGACAAGCCUAUGUUACCAUUGAUCGGCACUCUACUGUUCUACUAAUUUUAUAUAUUAGUAUAAUAAUAGUAUAGCAUCGGAGGAGUGGGGCUCAUCAAAGAACUAAGAACCCACGAGGUUGCCAUUGCCGAACUCAAUAAUCUUUAUUCAUCUAGAUUAAAGCUCAAGGAAACAUGAUAUGUGGUCCAUAUCUGCAUGAGGUUGACCACUCAUUUAUUGUGAUAAGGAAUUUGGAUGGUGUGUUAUGGACUGCAAUAUUUGGUAUUAAGGAUGGUACUUGCAAAGAUGAAGAGGACAACUCAAACAAUAACAUGGAGGUCGAAAGCAACUUGGAGGGUGACCUAGAGGAAAACUACUAUAGAUCUUUUCAUAAUUCUAGUUGUUUAAAACAAUAUUUUUAUGUUAUGGUUUAAUUUCAGGAUUUCUUUGUAUAUUUUAUAUUUUAAAGUUUGGACUUAUAAGAAUUUUUAUGUUUCAAUGGAUCAAUUUUUGGUAAU